AUUUGCACUUUGGGGCCCUGUUGCUAGC
This 28-nucleotide non-coding RNA is filed under the name Mus musculus (house mouse). Lineage: Eukaryota; Metazoa; Chordata; Mammalia; Rodentia; Muridae. The record is from RNAcentral.